GUAGAGAUGGCUGUUAUGGCCUUAAGGAAGAGAUCAUGGCAGCAUGUUUUGGGGAACUUUAGUGGGUUCGUUACGCACGCGAAUUUUCACAGCUCGAAGGUGGACUUAAGGAAGCUCAGGCCGAUGAUUCUGAAGAGAAUCGAAAGCCGGGCCAAGGACUACCCGGUGCGCCGCAUGGUCCCGGUGGCCCAGGAGGUCCUUGAGGCCCGAGCAAUCUUCUUCCAAGGCGUGUCCGCUCUGCUCAGACUCUUUCCCAUCAUGGCCUGCAAGUUCUGUCCAGAAGUAUAUAUUGGUGAGAAAGGUCACUUAAUCCAGACAUGCUGUGGUUACAAGCGCCGUGCCAAGAAUCGAGUUCAUGAAUGGAUCAGCGGUGGUUUGAAUGAUAUACUUGUUCCAGUAGAAGCAUUUCAUCUGCAGGGCAUGUUCCAAGAUGUUAUUAAACACGACCAAAGGUUCGAUUUUGACCGUGUUCCCGCAGUUCUUGAACUGUGCUGGCAGGCAGGAGUUGAUCCAUAUGAUGAAAAAAAGUACUCCAGCAGUUGGAACUUGGAAAAUGUCUCUGCUGGCAGUGAAGGAGUCAACUCGUUGUCACCACAUGAACUGACGUUAAUUGCCAAUACCACUUUGAAGGCGUGGGAGACGCUCAGAACUGGCGUACAGAAGUUGUUGUUGGUUUAUCCAGUGAAAGUCUGUAAACACUGUUCCGAAGUUCAUGUUGGGCCAUCUGGGCACAAAGCUAGACUCUGUGGUGUAUUUAAGUAUGAGAGUUGGAGAGGAGCCCACUUCUGGAAGAAGGCAGAAGUUGAUGAUUUGGUGCCUCCUAAGAUUGUAUGGCGGCGGCGGCCUCAGGAUCCUCUUGUGCUUGUUGAUGCACAUCGGAAUUUUUAUGGACAUGCACCAGCAGUGGUGGAUCUGUGCACACAAGCUGGGGUUAUUGCUCCAGCUAAGUAUCAUUGUAUGAUGAAAGUGCAAGGUUUACCAGCACCUGCUCAAUUCAAUGUUUGAAGCUCGCUGUAAGUUGAAUUCUAAUGGCUUAGCUUCAAGGGACUUGAUGUGAUACUUUUCAGGGUGUCGAGCUCUUCCAACCCUUCCAGCCCCUCUCAUCGGGCCAUAGUUUUUUCUGGUUGUUUGUUCAUGAGAUCUACGUGCUGGAUUUUGACACUGAACUUUUUCCCUACUACGUCUCUACUGGAUCUGUUUCAGGAAUAUCCCUAAAAACGAAAAGAACUUUUGGUCUCUCCAGCUAUUUCAGAUUAAGAAGAUGUGAAUACAUUUCUCUCAAGAAGAAAAAGAAUGAGUGGAAAAUGGGCAAAGGCAAAUUGAGCCAAUCAUGUCUUUGAAGAUGAGGGUGGUGGUGGAGAACUUGACAGGAACUCUCUUCUACAUCCAGGUGGGAAAUGAUGCCACACUAGCUGAUCUAAAGAGGGAAAUCGAGGCCUAGCAGAAGCUCCCUAGUGACCGUCUGAUCCUCAUCCUUAACAAGGAUCGUCUUAGCAUUUUGACGACUGAUGAUGGGGAUGGGGUUUCACUGAUGGAUUGUGGGGUGCAAGAUGGGUCCCAUAUUUACCUAUUUUUCAAUCCCCUUGAUGAUGGGUCCUCCCAUCAUUUCGUCUUCACUUCGCCUAAUUUUGUCUCGGGGUAGACCUACUUCCCUUGCCAAACAAAAUGGAAGAAUGAACUGGAAAUUGCCUAA
RNA transcript from Alnus glutinosa, 1693 nucleotides. It is a transcript of the gene named APO protein 4, mitochondrial, with no coding region annotated. NCBI's taxonomy places the organism in Eukaryota, Viridiplantae, Streptophyta, Magnoliopsida, Fagales, Betulaceae. The transcript has 4 exons. The record is from RefSeq and is a predicted model, not a curated record.